CCUACGGGAGGCAGCAGUGGGGAAUUUUGGACAAUGGGCGAAAGCCUGAUCCAGCAAUGCCGCGUGAGUGAAGAAGGCCUUCGGGUUGUAAAGCUCUUUUGUCAGGGAAGAAACGGUGAGAGCUAAUAUCUCUUGCUAAUGACGGUACCUGAAGAAUAAGCACCGGCUAACUACGUGCCAGCAGCCGCGGUAAUACGUAGGGUGCAAGCGUUAAUCGGAAUUACUGGGCGUAAAGCGUGCGCAGGCGGUUUUGUAAGUCUGAUGUGAAAUCCCCGGGCUCAACCUGGGAAUUGCAUUGGAGACUGCAAGGCUAGAAUCUGGCAGAGGGGGGUAGAAUUCCACGUGUAGCAGUGAAAUGCGUAGAUAUGUGGAGGAACACCGAUGGCGAAGGCAGCCCCCUGGGUCAAGAUUGACGCUCAUGCACGAAAGCGUGGGGAGCAAACAGGAUUAGAUACCCUGGUAGUCCACGCCCUAAACGAUGUCUACUAGUUGUCGGGUCUUAAUUGACUUGGUAACGCAGCUAACGCGUGAAGUAGACCGCCUGGGGGUAGGUAGUUCGCGAGAGUUAAACGUAACGAAGAAGUUAGAGGCGNGAGAGNGCGACGGACGACGACGAGGGAGGAGGAG
This 627-nucleotide ribosomal RNA is filed under the name uncultured bacterium. RNAcentral's name for it is "bacterial SSU rRNA". It matches the Rfam family "Bacterial small subunit ribosomal RNA", at positions 338 to 956 of the family's 1533-position model. The record is from RNAcentral.